RNAcentral lists this ribosomal RNA (405 nucleotides) under uncultured prokaryote. RNAcentral's name for it is "bacterial SSU rRNA". It matches the Rfam family "Bacterial small subunit ribosomal RNA", at positions 355 to 774 of the family's 1533-position model. The record is from RNAcentral.
UGGGGAAUAUUGGACAAUGGGCGCAAGCCUGAUCCAGCCAUGCCGCGUGAGUGAUGAAGGCCCUGGGGUUGUAAACCUCUGUCCUUGGUGACGAAAAAAAUGACGGUAGCCAAGGAGGAAGCCCCGGCUAACUACGUGCCAGCAGCCGCGGUAAUACGUAGGGGGCGAGCGUUGUCCGGAAUUACUGGGUGUAAAGGGUAUGUAGGCGGCCCUUCAAGUCGCGUGUCAAAGUCCAGUGCUCAACGCUGGGGGUGCGCGCGAUACUGACGGGCUUGAGGGCUGGAGAGGUGAGCUGAAUGCCCGGUGUAGUGGUAAAAUACGUAGAGAUCGGGAGGAACACCAGCGGCGCAGGCGGCUCACUAGACAGUUUCUGACGCUAAGAUGCGAAAGCGUGGGGAGCAAACA